GCAUUCGUGGUGUAGUGGUCAGCACGCUCGACUCGUAUUCGAGAGGCCCGUGGUUCGAAUCCCGGCAAGGGCA
RNAcentral lists this transfer RNA (73 nucleotides) under Stegodyphus mimosarum. RNAcentral's name for it is "tRNA-Thr for anticodon CGU". It matches the Rfam family "tRNA". Rfam says of the family: Transfer RNA (tRNA) molecules are approximately 80 nucleotides in length. Their secondary structure includes four short double-helical elements and three loops (D, anti-codon, and T loops). The record is from Rfam by way of RNAcentral. Lineage: Eukaryota; Metazoa; Arthropoda; Arachnida; Araneae; Eresidae.